GAUGAACGCUGGCGGCGUGCUUAACACAUGCAAGUCGAACGGAAAGGCUCCUGCUUGCAGGGGUACUCGAGUGGCGAACGGGUGAGUAACACGUGGGUGACCUGCCCUGCACUUCGGGAUAAGCCUGGGAAACUGGGUCUAAUACCGGAUAGGACGAUGUUUUGGAUGCCAUUGUGGAGAGAUUUUUCGGUGUGGGAUGAGCUCGCGGCCUAUCAGCUUGUUGGUGGGGUAAUGGCCUACCAAGGCGUCGACGGGUAGCCGGCCUGAGAGGGUGUACGGCCACAUUGGGACUGAGAUACGGCCCAGACUCCUACGGGAGGCAGCAGUGGGGAAUAUUGCACAAUGGGCGGAAGCCUGAUGCAGCGACGCCGCGUGGGGGAUGACGGCCUUCGGGUUGUAAACUCCUUUCGCUAGGGACGAAGCGCAAGUGACGGUACCUGGUGAAGAAGCACCGGCUAACUACGUG
RNAcentral lists this ribosomal RNA (466 nucleotides) under uncultured bacterium. RNAcentral describes it as "partial 16S ribosomal RNA". It matches the Rfam family "Bacterial small subunit ribosomal RNA", at positions 28 to 507 of the family's 1533-position model. The record is from RNAcentral.